UGCGCGCACACACAGCGCACACACAAGCGUACACACAGCUAGCACACAGCAACUGCACACACACACAGCAAGCGCACAAGCACACACACACAGCAAGCAUGCACACACAGCUAGCACACACACAGCAAGCGCACACACAGCUAGCACACACACUAGGCGCACACACAGCACACACACACAGCUAGCACACACACACAGCAAGCGC
This 205-nucleotide long non-coding RNA is filed under the name Homo sapiens (human). RNAcentral's name for it is "non-protein coding lnc-TPPP-1:1". The record is from RNAcentral. Lineage: Eukaryota; Metazoa; Chordata; Mammalia; Primates; Hominidae.